RNAcentral lists this non-coding RNA (23 nucleotides) under Arabidopsis thaliana (thale cress). The record is from RNAcentral. Lineage: Eukaryota; Viridiplantae; Streptophyta; Magnoliopsida; Brassicales; Brassicaceae.
GAUGGUUCAGAAAGUCCUCGAGC